Capra hircus (goat) is the source of this 1354-nucleotide long non-coding RNA. RefSeq lists it as uncharacterized. The record is from RefSeq and is a predicted model, not a curated record. The transcript has 3 exons. NCBI's taxonomy places the organism in Eukaryota, Metazoa, Chordata, Mammalia, Artiodactyla, Bovidae.
CGGCGUUAAAGACCCCUCGGAUAGUAGCGAUGGCGAGGGGCGAGGCGGCCCGGGGCUGCUGGAAACACUCUAUUUCAGGACCUGGGUGCUGGGUACGCGGUGUGUUCCGUUCCGUUUCUGAAAAUCCAGUGAGCUGCAUGCCUUCUCUGGGUGUUUGCUGCGACAUGUGGGAUCUAGUUUCCAAACUAAGGAUGGAACAAGAGCUCUCUGUACCGGGAACAUGGAGUUUUAGCCACUGGACCACCAGGGAAGUUUGCGGCAGGAGCCACAGAGCUUUGGAUUUCUGAAGAUGCUCAGGAGAUGUGAUGAUGUAAGAAUGUUUCUUUUCCCUCCCCAUCUCCCUCUUUUCCUGGGAUCAUACAGGAGCCCAGAGCUAGGCAUCUGGUUCAGUGGGGAGUCUUUCCAACACUGGCUCCAAUAUUGAUGGAUGAAAGGGAGUAGCAAGACAGGGAGGGAACGGUUUUCCAGGCAUAGGGAAGAGCAUUUAGGAAACCUUGCAACAGCUUUAUCCAUUCUAGGAACUCCAAGUAAUCCCACACCUGAGUGAGAGCUAAAAAUCUUCAACCCACGAGGUAUUCCAGCUAUUGGUCCAAACCUUCUCGGUUGACUUUCAAGGCCAUUUACAAACUUGCCCUAACCUACUUCCCACUUCUCCUCCCCACCGCCAUCCUCAAACCCCUGACCCUUUGUUGCUGCUGCUAAGUCAUUUCAGUCAUGUCCGACUCUGUGCAACCCCAUAGACGACAGCCCAUCAGGCUCCCCCCCGUCCCUGGGAUUGUCCAGGCAAGAACACUGGAGUGGAGUGGGGACCCUUUGUUAUAGUCACUCUAAUGGUUUCCUGUUCUCCAAACAGAUCUUUCACUUUCUGGCCUCUGGCCUCCCGAACUUUGCCCAGGCUGCCCAUCCCCUAAAGGGAAUGUUCUAACCCCUCCCCUUUUCGCUGAGCUAAGGACUCAAUGAACAGGAAUUUGAGCAAACUCCGGGAGACAGUGGAGGCAGAGGAGUGCUGCAGUCUGGAGUGUUGCAGUCCAUUCGGUUCCAAAGAGUCGGACUUCGGGACUGAACAACAAACUCUCAUCUUCCAAGACCCAACUCAGGGGACAUCUCUCUCCCCCAGAAUGUAGAACUUCCAAAGCAGAAGUUCGAGACCCCCUAAUCCCUAGAACCCAGGCUAUCAUUUCUGCUGAAUAAUUAGUCACGUCAAGGAAAUCUUUCCUGAAUACUCCAAGAUAAACGCCCCACUCUGCGCUGUCCUCUGUGCCCCGCUGCACACCUUGUCCAUGCUUUGUUAUGAACUUCUUGAGGCAAGCAUCAUUUCUUUUUCUUCAGUGUCUAAUAAACUGUACCGACCACA